This 397-nucleotide ribosomal RNA is filed under the name uncultured bacterium. RNAcentral describes it as "bacterial SSU rRNA". It matches the Rfam family "Bacterial small subunit ribosomal RNA", at positions 362 to 773 of the family's 1533-position model. The record is from RNAcentral.
UAUUGGACAAUGGGGGAAACCCUGACGCAGCGACGCCGCGUGGGUGAGGAAGUCCUUCGGGAUGUAAAGCCCUUUUGCCGGGGACGAAGCAAGUGACGGUACCCGGCGAAUAAGCCCCGGCUAACUACGUGCCAGCAGCCGCGGUAAUACGUAGGGGGCGAGCGUUGUCCGGAUUUACUGGGCGUAAAGCGCGCGUAGGCGGAAGUGUAAGUGUGGCCUGAAAGCCCCCGGCUCAACCGGGGAGGGCGGCUGCAAGCUGCGCUUCUUGAGGGCGAUAGAGGAGUGUGGAAUUCCUGGUGUAGCGGUGAAAUGCGUAGAGAUCAGGAGGAACACCCGUGGCGAAGGCGGCACUCUGGGUCGACCCUGACGCUGAGGCGCGAAAGCGUGGGGAGCGAAC